RNAcentral lists this long non-coding RNA (1410 nucleotides) under Monodelphis domestica (gray short-tailed opossum). RNAcentral's name for it is "lncRNA (ENSMODG00000050845.1)". The record is from RNAcentral. Lineage: Eukaryota; Metazoa; Chordata; Mammalia; Didelphimorphia; Didelphidae.
AUGACAAACUCCACAGAAGCACAGAAGCCCCAAAAUACCAAGAAAAAUAAGAAGAAAGGGGCGACUCUGGACACAUUCUAUGGAGCCAAAAUACAAAAUACAGAGCAGAUAGAAGAAGAUAUACAAGAAAAUUCUCCAAAAUCUUCCAAAGGAAAUAGAAACUCUCCACAAACACAUGAAGAAUUUGAAUCAGAAAGGACCAAAAAGAUGGAAGCCCUCUGGGAGGAAAAGUGGGAAAUGAUGCAAAAGAAAUUCACGCAUCUACAAAACCAGUUUGACCAAACUGUAAAAGAAAACCAGGCUUUAAAGCAAGAACUAAUAAAGCAAAGCCAAAACACCAAGAAAUUAGAAGAGAACAUAAAAUAUCUCACCGACAAGGUGAUAGAUCUGGAAAACAGGGGGAGAAGAGAAAAUUUAAGAAUAAUUGGACUCCCAGAAAAGCCAGAAAUAAACACCAAACUGGACAUGGUGAUACAAGAUAUAAUCAAAGAAAAUUGCCCAGAGAUUCUAGAACAAGGGGGCAAUACAGCCACUGACAGAGCUCACAGAACACCUUCUACACUAAACCCCCAAAAGACAACUCCCAGGAAUGUAAUUGCCAAAUUCCAAAGCUAUCAAACAAAAGAAAAAAUCCUACAGGAAGCCAGAAAAAGACAAUUUAGAUAUAAAGGAAUGCCAAUCAGGAACACCUUCUACACUAAACCCCCAAAAGACAACUCCCAGGAAUGUAAUUGCCAAAUUCCAAACCUUUCAAACAAAAGAAAAAAUCCUACAGGAAGCCAGAAAAAUACAAUUUAGAUAUAAAGGAAUGCCAAUCAGGGUCACACAAGACCUUGCAAGUUCUACUCUGAAUGAUCGUAAGGCAUGGAACAUGAUCUUCAGAAAGGCAAGAGAGCUGGGUCUCCAACCAAGAAUCAGCUACCCAGCAAAACUGACUAUAUACUUCCAAGGGAAAAUAUGGGCAUUCAACAAAAUAGAAGACUUCCAACUUUUUGCAAAGAAAAGACCAGAGCUCUGUGGAAAGUUUGAUACCGAAAAUCAAAGAGCAAGGAAUACCUGAAAAGGUAAAUAUUAAGGAAAGGGGAAAAAUGUUAUCUUCUUCUUUUACUCAAACUCUCUUCUAUAAGGACUACAUUUAUAUCAAUCUAUGUAUACUAACAUGUGGGAAAAAUGUAAUGUAUAAAUAGGGGGUAAAGAAAGACCAAAUAGAAUAAUGGUUCUCACACAAAGAUUCACAUGGGAAGGGGAGGGGAAGAAAACUCCUAUAAGAAGGAGAGGAAGAGAGGGGGGGGGGGGUUUACUUAAACCUCAAUCUCAGGGAAAUCAACUCUGAGAGGGAAAAACAUCCAGAUCCAUUGGGAUCUUGAAUUCUAUCUUACCCAACAAGGGUAAGGAGAAGGGAAAACCAAG